GAGUCGGUGGAGGAUUGUCUUAAGAAGGGAGCCCUAGAGCAUCAGAGGCUGGAAGCCGACAGGCUGGACUGAAUGGGUAUUUCUGCACUGUUCCUCGGUGGCCAGCAGAGGAAUUUCCAGGGUCCAAAGGGUGAGGAUUAGGGAAAAGAAAAAAGACGGGGUUAGAUGCACAGGUAUCCCAUCAUGUGAUGUGACUGCACAAGAGGCCCUGAUCGUCAGUUAACAGCUAUACCAAAACCACAGGUGCAACACAGAGGGCCACUGAGUCCAGAAAGUUGACCUCCUCACAGCUCAGAGUGGAGGAAUCCGCUAGCUGCAGUCUGUCAGCUUUCCUGGUGAAAGCCUGGAGCGGGCUGACGCCUGCUCCCUCUCCGCCAGUUCCCCAGGCGUCUGGGUCGCCUACACAAGGCUUAAUCAAGUCAUCAUAUCUAGCCAGUGUCUCCUGGAUCCCGUCACUUCUGAAUGAGAAAAAAAAUUGCGGACAAAUUUCUAUCAGCAGGAAGUUGGUGCUCUCCUGCGAGGAAGGAUGAAAAGCCCCUGUGACGUCAGCAGUCUCCCGCCUUCCCGCGCCUGCUGCGAGCUUUGAAGCUGCUGCGGGCUUCUGUUUCUGCCCCUAGCAGCCCACCUGCCCCUCUGGGUCCCGUUCAGGCCCCACAACUGCUCCGACUGCUCUGGAUGAGCCCAAAGCGUCCUAAUUAUGGACAUUGCUGGCUUGUACUGGUCAAAUAAGAAGGGUCUGCCCCACAUCAAGAAACUUACAGGCACCAGCGAACCCUGGCCUCCCCAUUGUCCCCGCAGUAAGGAGCAUUUGAUUGAGGGCCAGGACAGUUUGUCGGAACUUAUAAAAGCCCAGUUUGAAGAAAGGGGCUGCCUGGCCUCCCUCUAUAGACUGAUAAUUUUCACUUUGUAGUAAAAACUGUGAGAGAUAAACC
Molecule: long non-coding RNA, 932 nt
Filed under: Mus pahari (shrew mouse)
Lineage: Eukaryota; Metazoa; Chordata; Mammalia; Rodentia; Muridae
Description: lncRNA (MGP_PahariEiJ_G0004399.1)
Source: RNAcentral